CAGCCGCCGCGGUAAUACGGGAGGGGCAAGCGUUAUCCGGCAUGACUGGGCGUAAAGAGUCCGUAGACUGUAAAGUAAGUUUUUUGUUAAAUCUUAAAACCUAAUUUUAAACAAGCAAUUAAUACUGCUUUACUUUGAGUUUAAUACAGAAAAGUGGAAUUUUAUACGAUAGGGGUGAAAUCUGCAGAUAUAUAAAGGAACAUCAAUAGCGAAGGCAACUUUUUAGUAUAAACUGACGUUGAGGGACGAAAGUGUGGGUAGCAAACAGGAUUAGAGACCCUGGUAGUCCACACCGUAAAUUCUGAGUGCUGUGAUUUAAUUAUAAUUAUACCAAUUUAGAUCUUCAAGCUAACGCAUUAAGCACUCCGCCUGAAGAGUACGAUCGCAAGAUUGGAACUCAAAGGAAUUGACGGGGUCUAUCACUAGUGGUGGAGUAUGUGGUUUAAUGCGAUAAUCCGCGCAAAACCUUACCAAUUCUUGAC
This 482-nucleotide ribosomal RNA is filed under the name uncultured alpha proteobacterium ARCTIC.437. RNAcentral's name for it is "bacterial SSU rRNA". It matches the Rfam family "Bacterial small subunit ribosomal RNA", at positions 509 to 985 of the family's 1533-position model. The record is from RNAcentral. Lineage: Bacteria; Pseudomonadati; Pseudomonadota; Alphaproteobacteria.